RNAcentral lists this ribosomal RNA (484 nucleotides) under uncultured bacterium. RNAcentral describes it as "partial 16S ribosomal RNA". It matches the Rfam family "Bacterial small subunit ribosomal RNA", at positions 29 to 507 of the family's 1533-position model. The record is from RNAcentral.
AUUGAACGCUGGCGGCAUGCUUUACACAUGCAAGUCGAACGGCAGCGCGGGCUUCGGCCUGGCGGCGAGUGGCGAACGGGUGAGUAAUACAUCGGAACGUGCCCAGCAGUGGGGGAUAGCUCGGCGAAAGCCGGAUUAAUAACGCAUACGACCUGAGGGUGAAAGCGGGGGAUCUUCGGACCUCGCGCUAUUGGAGCGGCCGAUGGCAGAUUAGCUAGUUGGUGGGGUAAAGGCCUACCAAGGCGACGAUCUGUAGCUGGUCUGAGAGGACGACCGGCCACACUGGGACUGAGACACGGCCCAGACUCCUACGGGAGGCAGCAGUGGGGAAUUUUGGGCAAUGGGCGAAAGCCUGAUCCAGCAAUGCCGCGUGUGUGAUGAAGGCCUUCGGGUUGUAAAGCACUUUUGGCGGGAACGAAAAGGACUGUGCCAAUACCACGGUUCGAUGACGGUACCCGCAGAAUAAGCACCGGCUAACUACGUG